This 437-nucleotide ribosomal RNA is filed under the name uncultured bacterium. RNAcentral's name for it is "partial 16S ribosomal RNA". It matches the Rfam family "Bacterial small subunit ribosomal RNA", at positions 30 to 507 of the family's 1533-position model. The record is from RNAcentral.
AGCGAACGCUGGCGGCAGGCUUAACACAUGCAAGUCGAGCGGGCAUCCUUGUGGUGUCAGCGGCAGACGGGUGAGUAACGCGUGGGAACGUGCCCUUCGGUUCGGAAUAACUCAGGGAAACUUGAGCUAAUACCGGAUACGUGCGAGAGCAGAAAGGUUUAUCUGCCGAAGGAUCGGCCCGCGUCUGAUUAGCUAGUUGGUGAGGUUAUGGCUCACCAAGGCGACGAUCAGUAGCUGGUCUGAGAGGAUGAUCAGCCACACUGGGACUGAGACACGGCCCAGACUCCUCGGGGAGGCGGCGGGGGGGAAUAUUGGAAAGGGGGGGAACCCCGGACCCAGCCUUGCCGGGGGAGUGAGGCCGGCGUUGGGGUUGAAAAGCUCUUUUCCCCGGGAGGAAAAGGACGGGCCGGGAGAAAUAGGCCCCGGCUAACUUCGUC